RNAcentral lists this ribosomal RNA (1732 nucleotides) under Staphylococcus epidermidis. Its description in RNAcentral is "bacterial LSU rRNA". It matches the Rfam family "Bacterial large subunit ribosomal RNA", at positions 1197 to 2925 of the family's 2925-position model. Lineage: Bacteria; Bacillati; Bacillota; Bacilli; Caryophanales; Staphylococcaceae. The record is from RNAcentral.
AAGCUGUGGAUUGUCCUUUGGACAAUGGUAGGAGAGCGUUCUAAGGGCGUCGAAGCAUGAUCGCAAGGACAUGUGGAGCGCUUAGAAGUGAGAAUGCCGGUGUGAGUAGCGAAAGACGGGUGAGAAUCCCGUCCACCGAUUGACUAAGGUUUCCAGAGGAAGGCUCGUCCGCUCUGGGUUAGUCGGGUCCUAAGCUGAGGCCGACAGGCGUAGGCGAUGGAUAACAGGUUGAUAUUCCUGUACCACCUAGUAUCGUUUUAAUCGAUGGGGGGACGCAGUAGGAUAGGCGAAGCGUGCUGUUGGAGUGCACGUCCAAGCAGUAAGGCUGAGUGUUAGGCAAAUCCGGCACUCAUAAGGCUGAGCUGUGAUGGGGAGAGGAAAUUGUUUCCUCGAGUCGUUGAUUUCACACUGCCGAGAAAAGCCUCUAGAUAGAUAACAGGUGCCCGUACCGCAAACCGACACAGGUAGUCAAGAUGAGAAUUCUAAGGUGAGCGAGCGAACUCUCGUUAAGGAACUCGGCAAAAUGACCCCGUAACUUCGGGAGAAGGGGUGCUCUUUAGGGUUCACGCCCAGAAGAGCCGCAGUGAAUAGGCCCAAGCGACUGUUUAUCAAAAACACAGGUCUCUGCUAAACCGUAAGGUGAUGUAUAGGGGCUGACGCCUGCCCGGUGCUGGAAGGUUAAGAGGAGUGGUUAGCUUCUGCGAAGCUACGAAUCGAAGCCCCAGUAAACGGCGGCCGUAACUAUAACGGUCCUAAGGUAGCGAAAUUCCUUGUCGGGUAAGUUCCGACCCGCACGAAAGGCGUAACGAUUUGGGCACUGUCUCAACGAGAGACUCGGUGAAAUCAUAGUACCUGUGAAGAUGCAGGUUACCCGCGACAGGACGGAAAGACCCCGUGGAGCUUUACUGUAGCCUGAUAUUGAAAUUCGGCACAGCUUGUACAGGAUAGGUAGGAGCCUUUGAAACGUGAGCGCUAGCUUACGUGGAGGCGUUGGUGGGAUACUACCCUAGCUGUGUUGGCUUUCUAACCCGCACCACUUAUCGUGGUGGGAGACAGUGUCAGGCGGGCAGUUUGACUGGGGCGGUCGCCUCCUAAAAGGUAACGGAGGCGCUCAAAGGUUCCCUCAGAAUGGUUGGAAAUCAUUCAUAGAGUGUAAAGGCAUAAGGGAGCUUGACUGCGAGACCUACAAGUCGAGCAGGGUCGAAAGACGGACUUAGUGAUCCGGUGGUUCCGCAUGGAAGGGCCAUCGCUCAACGGAUAAAAGCUACCCCGGGGAUAACAGGCUUAUCUCCCCCAAGAGUUCACAUCGACGGGGAGGUUUGGCACCUCGAUGUCGGCUCAUCGCAUCCUGGGGCUGUAGUCGGUCCCAAGGGUUGGGCUGUUCGCCCAUUAAAGCGGUACGCUAGCUGGGUUCAGAACGUCGUGAGACAGUUCGGUCCCUAUCCGUCGUGGGCGUAGGAAAUUUGAGAGGAGCUGUCCUUAGUACGAGAGGACCGGGAUGGACAUACCUCUGGUGUACCAGUUGUCGUGCCAACGGCAUAGCUGGGUAGCUAUGUAUGGACGGGAUAAGUGCUGAAAGCAUCUAAGCAUGAAGCCCCCCUCAAGAUGAGAUUUCCCAACUUCGGUUAUAAGAUCCCUCGAAGAUGACGAGGUUAAUAGGUUCGAGGUGGAAGCGUGGUGACACGUGGAGCUGACGAAUACUAAUCGAUCGAAGACUUAAUCAAUUUUUAAA